This is a long non-coding RNA of Diachasma alloeum, 874 nucleotides long. RefSeq lists it as uncharacterized. Lineage: Eukaryota; Metazoa; Arthropoda; Insecta; Hymenoptera; Braconidae. The record is from RefSeq and is a predicted model, not a curated record. The transcript has 3 exons.
UCGCCGACACAUAUUGCAAUUGUUCAACCAUUCCAAAACAGUCUCCAGAUUAAAUCGGACAGUAGACUCAAAUUUGAACGCAAGGUGUCCCAUAAUCAAACGUUGCAGACCGGUCCAUUUAGUGUUUUUCAAUUCCAACAACCGUUUGAAAAUAAAUUUUUCAACUACUGGUUUUUAAUUACUGGAACGACUUCGACAACUUCGGAACUAAAUUUCCCUAGAGCUGAAUAUUUCUGCGACAGAAAUCGUGAGGGUCGAAUACACCGAGAACAUAAUCUAGUUUUUAGGAAAAAUGAUUUUAAACCAGAUGUACACACUCGUCCUUCUCCUGACAAUCAUCACGGUUAUUGGUGUGGCAUCAGGCCAGUCCGGGGAUUACACUGACGAUCUGUACGAGCCCUCUGUUCCUGACAACUACCCCUGCACUGGAACUCACUUCAAGUGGUACUGCCAGUACUGUCAGUGUGAGGAUGGUGUCGUUGGAGGCUGCACGAGGAACAUAUGCCCCACCGGAAUCUGGAGACGCGACGGAACUCUGAUCCGUGAAAAUAUAUUUUUUUUUUAAUACCUGCCUCGAAAGUUCACUUUUUGAAACCGUUCAGUGUGUGUAAAGCGAUUGUUUUACGCACACCGCGCACGAAAGCAACCACUUUACCCCUACUACGGUUUCGAAAAGUGAACUCGGCAGGUAUUAGAAAAAAUCGGAUGUGUUACGCGUGCGUACGAACAAGUGUUUCUUUACGCAUUUGUAAUAGAAUAUACUAUUAAUGGAUUGAUGAUGGCUAAGUUGUUGUCAAAGACAAUCAACUAGAGCAUAUUUCGAUACGAUUGCGGGAAAGUGUUUCUGGGCUCGUGGGAGGUUUAUAGCACGAGC